RNAcentral lists this ribosomal RNA (521 nucleotides) under uncultured bacterium. RNAcentral's name for it is "bacterial SSU rRNA". It matches the Rfam family "Bacterial small subunit ribosomal RNA", at positions 8 to 518 of the family's 1533-position model. The record is from RNAcentral.
AGAAUUUGAUCUUGGUUCAGGAUGAACGCUAGCUACAGGCUUAACACAUGCAAGUCGAGGGGCAGCAUGAUCGAAGCUUGCUUUGAUUGAUGGCGACCGGCGCACGGGUGAGUAACGCGUAUCCAACCUUCCCUAUAGUAGAGAAUAGCCCGGCGAAAGUCGGAUUAAUGCUCUAUGUUGUAUUUAGAAGACAUCUGAAGAAUACCAAAGGUUUACCGCUAUAGGAUGGGGAUGCGUCUGAUUAGGUUGUUGGCGGGUAACGGCCCACCAAGCCCACGAUCAGUAGGGGUUCUGAGAGGAAGGUCCCCCACAUUGGAACUGAGACACGGUCCAAACUCCUACGGGAGGCAGCAGUGAGGAAUAUUGGUCAAUGGACGCAAGUCUGAACCAGCCAAGUAGCGUGCCAGGAUGACGGCCCUAUGGGUUGUAAACUGCUUUUAUACAGGGAUAAAGUGAGGGACGUGUCCCUUUUUGUAGGUACUGUAUGAAUAAGGACCGGCUAAUUCCGUGCCAGCAGCAGC